Colossoma macropomum (tambaqui) is the source of this 3348-nucleotide long non-coding RNA. RefSeq lists it as uncharacterized. NCBI's taxonomy places the organism in Eukaryota, Metazoa, Chordata, Actinopteri, Characiformes, Serrasalmidae. The transcript has 5 exons. The record is from RefSeq and is a predicted model, not a curated record.
AGAGGGAGAGAGAGAGAACAGAAGAGGUAGUGAAGAGAGCAGACGAGAAGUCAAGAACCUGAAAUUUCCUCCAAAAGGUUGCUGAGUGGUGUGGAUGUUCUGAAGUGAAUUUGACGCUGGGGAGAAGAACGUGGUCCUGAAGAAGAACAGAAAGAGGGAAAAUGAACGGACGAGAGCUCAUCUGCCUGCUUGUGCUCUUCGCAGUUGCUGUACAUGCUGAAGAUCCAGAGUUUGAUACAAGAAACCUGGAAAUCUCUGGUACUAAGUCACCCUGAUCUGUCCAGAAGACCCUGAGAGUUGGAAAAAAGAUGAGAAAGAUGCAGAAGGGACAGAAGAAAAUAAAUUAAUCAUACAUGGCUACAAAGAUAAGGACAAUGGAUUUUAUGAGUGCACCUCAACGUCCAAAAAUAAAUACUAUUUCUACACCAAGCUAAAGGUGUGUGACGGCUGCGUGGACUUGGACAUGGGAUGGGCUACAACGAUCGUGAUUGGAGAUAUUUUGGUCACUCUCAUGGUCAUCCUUAUAGUCUACCUGUGCGCUAAGAAGAAGGCCGGUCCUGCGCCUCGUCAGAGAGCAACCCCAAGCCGUCAGGCGGGCGCUCCUCCUCCUCCAAACCCCGAUUACCAGGUUCUGAAUCCGGCCACACGCAGCAGAGACGUGUAUGCCGAGGCGGUACGGAAACACUGAAGACCUGCUGGACCCACCCAAACAGCAUCUUCAGUUGGUUCAUUUGCUUGAAACUCAGGAACUGUUAAAAGCGAGGUUUAGCACAGUCCCCAACUUCAGUCUAAUGGUUCAGUCAAAAACCUAAUUUUACAAGACAUUGAAUUUUGGCUGAGCCAUCAGUUUAAGCCUUGCAUGAGGUGCUUUGAAAACACCUUUGAUUUCUUUUUUCCGUUCGAAAGUUUGGCAUCACUGUUUUCAAUUGGCAAUAUAACAACUGUUAUUAAUAUCCAGAAAGUCUUGUAUUUGAACUGUGAUCAAGGUGAUCAAAUUUUGGGUCGUUUCUUUUGGUUCAUUCAUCAUGAAAUUUACACACAAUGUAAAAAACAACAGGCAUUUUCAAAUUAUAUCAAAAACUGAAAAACGUCAAAAAUGGAGAUAAGGGGUUUUGUUCUGAAAACAGCGCUACAUAAAACCAUUAACUAACCAUAGUCUUUCCUGAAGAACCCUUGGAGAACCUCCUUUGAAGUCUUUUCUUAAACAAACAAUUAAAAAACAUUCUGGAAUUGGGUUUAUAGUAUCUACACCAUAGAAGUUAUGUUUGAAAAUAACAACAGUUAUUAAGCGAGCAAGUGAUUCCAAACUUUCGAACAGUAGUGUGUAUACAGCACUGUUGUACCUUCGAGUAAUUCGGGGCACGUUGUACUCUUUACAGCUGCAGCAGAUUGAGAAUUCAGGUCUGAUAAAUCAGGAAAUAAACACAAAAAACGAGAAUUAGGAGCUAAAUGUUGAUGAGUAAAAUGUAACCGAGUAAAAAGUAGAUUACUCUCCUCACUGAUGUGCUUAAAUAGAGGUAUUAAAUACUUACAUAUUGUUUAAAGUAUUUAGGAAAGUGUAAAUUCUUUAAAAUGUUACUUGAGUUGCUGGAAUGAAGCUGAAUGAGUUACCAAACUCUUCCUCUUUAUCUCACAUCUUAUCAUCAAAUAAAAGCUUUGCUCUGUAAAUUUGCUCACAGUUAUGCUGAGGUUGAUUACUGAGUGAUUAUAUGGCUGCUUAUGAAUUUCACCAAAACUCACUGCUUUUCUGGGUCACGUUUUAUUUUGAAAGUUCCCUGUAGAUCAUCUACAGACACUUUAACUGACAAACUAUCUGGUGGAACUCAACUGAUUAUUAACCAUAUUUAUAUCAGGGCUACAUUUAGGAUUAGGGUUGAAGUUGAGGUUGGGUUUAGGUUUAGGAUUAUGAUUAGGUUUCAGUUUUGGAUUUAAAAUUAGGGCUAAGUUUAGGGUUUAGGGUGAGGUUUAGGUUAGUGUUAAAUUUAAGGGUAGGCUUAAGUUUAGAUUUUGGGUUAAGGGCAAGGUCAGGUUUAGGUUUAGAUUUUGGGUUGAAGUUAAGGUUAGGUUUACAUUUUGGGUUAAGGUUGGAUUUAGGUUUAGAUUUUGGGUUGAAGUUAAGACUGAGUUUAAGUUUAGAAUUUGGGUUAAGGUUAUGGUCAGGUUUACAUUUAGAUUUUGGGUUGAAGUUAAGGUCAGGUUUAGGUUUACAUUUUGGGUUAAUAUUAAGGUUGAGUUAUAGAUUUGGUUUAAAGUUAAGAAUAGGCUUAGGUUUAGAUUUUUGAAUAAAGUUAAGGUUGGGUUUAGGAUAGAUUUUGAGUUACAUGUAAGAGUAAGCUUAGGUUUAGAUUUUGGGUUAAAGUUAAGAGUAGGCUUAGGAUUUGGGUUAAAGUUAGGCUCAGGUUUAGGUUUUGAGUCAAAUGUUAUAGGAUUAGGUUUAAAUUUUGGGUUGAAGUAAGGUUUUGGUUUAGGUUAGAACUAGGUUUUGGGUUAAAGUUAGAUUUAGAUUUGUAUUGAAAGUUAUUGAUAGAUUUGGGUUUAGGAUAAGGUUUAGGUUUUGAGUUGAUGGUUAGGGGUAUGUUUAGGAUUAAUCUAACACAUUGAACUUAGCCUUCAGCUGCAUUUAAUUGUUUUUUAAUCAAAGACAAACUGAGCUAUGACGCAUCUACAGUGGACUCUCAAAAUAAAGUUAGACCCAUGUCUGUUUUCUAAGUACAAAGAAGACUAGAACAUUCUAUAUGCUGUCUAAAUGUGUGGUCUUAUGAUAUUUGCCAUAAAGCCAUAGUUUUUUAACAGUGUCAUACUUUUGGUCAGAUCAGCCCAUGACUAUCAGCUCCAGUGCUGAAGAAUCACUCAACAGAAUAUAUGUGUAAAUAAAGACACCAUCUCCAUCUCAGCUUUCACCUUUCAUAAUUACCCUGAUUUUCUUUCAGCUUGUUAAUGUAUAGUAUUGAAUAAUGUGUGAAAUGGUUUUCUUAUUGUUUUUGUUCUAUACUCUAUUCUGUUACUAUUCUACAACAGUGCAAAUGUUGUUUCUUCUUCAGGUUAAAGUUUAAUUCAUGUUUAUUUUUUUAAAAAUCAUAAUGUCUAAAAGUCAUUUUUGCUGAAAAAAAAACAGCUGAAAAUAUGAAGGCUAUUGUAACUUACUGUUGAAAUUUCCUUUAGUAGACUAAUAGACAGGACAGUAAAAUGGAAACUUUAGUUAAACUUAAGAUCAAAUCAUAAGAUAUGAUUUGAAAUAUGCCAUUGUACACAUUUCACAACAUAUUUCUGAAGAGACGUGUUUAACAUUUAUUUGUUUUUCAGUCUGAAUUUCUUUCACUAAAUUUCACAAUAAAGUCAUAUUUGCAA